RNAcentral lists this unclassified non-coding RNA (405 nucleotides) under Hevea brasiliensis (rubber tree). The record is from RNAcentral. Lineage: Eukaryota; Viridiplantae; Streptophyta; Magnoliopsida; Malpighiales; Euphorbiaceae.
GUAAAUUCAGUAGCUCUGGAAACACAAAGUUUGAUAAUUCAUCGGUCAAUAUAGGAGUAUUUGAUGAUAUGGACUCCUUUGAUAAUCUUGGAAAAUCUGUACCUCCAGUUUCACAUGGAGUCAAUAGGAGAGGAAAAGACAGGAGCCCUCUAAGAACUGGACCAAGCAUGGGUGGCACUUUUUCAACUUCUAGUAAAGAGCCAGUUGACAAAUAUCCUGUGGAUGAAGCUGAAGGCCAGUCACAGAGGAAUAUGCCUAAUGAUGAUUUCCAGGAAUCACAUGAAACAUUGUUUGAUAUGCCUUCUGUUGGUCAAAAUGUCUCAUCUCCUUCAUAUGUGAAUGCCAGUACUAAUGAGGCAAAUUCACCUCCAAGAUCUGAAGAUAUUUCAGAAUCACCUGAUGAUG